Turdus rufiventris (rufous-bellied thrush) is the source of this 83-nucleotide non-coding RNA. Lineage: Eukaryota; Metazoa; Chordata; Aves; Passeriformes; Turdidae. The record is from the annotation of a GenBank genome assembly.
GCACCUGUUGGAUAAAGGGAAAAUAUAUCCCACUGUGUUUGGGAAGGGGAAUAACUCCCCCAGUCCAGCUCUGGUCUGGUGCA